CUGGGAUGUGACACUGGUGACCAGGGUGUGAACGGGGAAGGACACAUUCCAAGCAUACCUCUGUGGUUCGCCGGCUGCACACCUAAGGGCUGUUGUAAAAGCCCGGGUCAAUCACUGCAGGAGCCGCCACGUCGGCGCCGCAAUCCUUGUGUUUCUGUGAAGAGGGUGAUUUCAACUGGAUGCAUGCAGAGAAGACCACUGAGCAAUGAAAAAGAGCUGGCAGCAACCCAGAGUCUCUACUUAAUUCAAAAUCUAAAAGAUUCAAUUGUGUGGGAAUGAAAAUGAAGACAAAUGUUAGUGUCUCCUGGUUUAUUUCUAAAUUGGAUGAAAAGGAAAAGGUAAUAUUAGCAAAGGCAUUGAAUGAAAAGAAGUCGGGAAGGCUGUAAACAAGGAAGAUCACUAACAACCUGGUUCGGAAACUGCAUUGGCGGCAACAAAGAAGAGAGGGAGGUCAUGUGCCCUGGGUCGCUUCCCUUCCUUUCUCAGCUGGUACAUAAGGGGCCCCAGCAGCAGGGGGCGCCAGACUCCCUCUGUCUCCUGAGUCCUCUCUCCGCUCCUCGCCUCGCCUGAGUCCUCUCUACUGACACCAUGGGGUGCUGUGGCUGUGGGGGUUGUGGUGGCUGCAGCGGUGGCUGUGGCAGCUGUGGCAGCUGUGGCGACUGUGGCGGCUGCGGU
This 675-nucleotide long non-coding RNA is filed under the name Heterocephalus glaber (naked mole-rat). Its description in RNAcentral is "lncRNA (ENSHGLG00100035669.1)". Lineage: Eukaryota; Metazoa; Chordata; Mammalia; Rodentia; Bathyergidae. The record is from RNAcentral.